Molecule: ribosomal RNA, 388 nt
Filed under: uncultured bacterium
Lineage: Bacteria
Description: bacterial SSU rRNA
Rfam family: Bacterial small subunit ribosomal RNA
Source: RNAcentral
GACGAACGCUGGCGGCGUGCUUAACACAUGCAAGUCGAGCGGUAAGGCCCUUUCGGGGGUACACGAGCGGCGAACGGGUGAGUAACACGUGGGUGACCUGCCCUCAGCUCUGGGAUAAGCCUGGGAAACCGGGUCUAAUACUGGAUAUGACUCCAUGACGCAUGUUGUGGGGUGGAAAGCCUUGUGCGGCUGAGGAUGGGCCCGCGGCCUAUCAGCUUGUUGGUGGGGUGANGGCCUACCAAGGCGACGACGGGUAGCCGGCCUGAGAGGGCGACCGGCCACACUGGGACUGAGACACGGCCCAGACUCCUACGGGAGGCAGCAGUGGGGAAUCUUGCGCAAUGGGCGAAGGCCUGACGCAGCGACGCCGCGUGAGGGAUGACGGCCU